GACGAACGCUGGCGGCGCGCCUAACACAUGCAAGUCGAACGAGCGAGAGAGAGCUUGCUUUCUUGAGCGAGUGGCGAACGGGUGAGUAACGCGUGAGGAACCUGCCUCAAAGAGGGGGACAACAGUUGGAAACGACUGCUAAUACCGCAUAAGCCCACGGUGCCGCAUGGCACAGAGGGAAAAGGAGCAAUCCGCUUUGAGAUGGCCUCGCGUCCGAUUAGCUAGUUGGUGAGGUAACGGCCCACCAAGGCGACGAUCGGUAGCCGGACUGAGAGGUUGAACGGCCACAUUGGGACUGAGACACGGCCCAGACUCCUACGGGAGGCAGCAGUGGGGAAUAUUGCACAAUGGGGGAAACCCUGAUGCAGCGACGCCGCGUGGAGGAAGAAGGUCUUCGGAUUGUAAACUCCUGUUGUUGGGGAAGAUAUUGACGGUACCCAACAAGGAAGUGACGGCUAACUACGUG
Molecule: ribosomal RNA, 466 nt
Filed under: uncultured bacterium
Lineage: Bacteria
Description: partial 16S ribosomal RNA
Rfam family: Bacterial small subunit ribosomal RNA
Source: RNAcentral